This 1439-nucleotide ribosomal RNA is filed under the name Salmonella enterica. RNAcentral's name for it is "partial 23S ribosomal RNA". It matches the Rfam family "Bacterial large subunit ribosomal RNA", at positions 1 to 1477 of the family's 2925-position model. Lineage: Bacteria; Pseudomonadati; Pseudomonadota; Gammaproteobacteria; Enterobacterales; Enterobacteriaceae. The record is from RNAcentral.
GGGUUGUGAGGUUAAGCGACUAAGCGUACACGGUGGAUGCCCUGGCAGUCAGAGGCGAUGAAGGGCGUGCUAAUCUGCGAUAAGCGCCGGUAAGGUGAUAUGAACCGUUAUAACCGGCGAUACCCGAAUGGGGAAACCCAGUGUGAUUCGUCACACUAUCAUUAACUGAAUCCAUAGGUUAAUGAGGCGAACCGGGGGAACUGAAACAUCUAAGUACCCCGAGGAAAAGAAAUCAACCGAGAUUCCCCCAGUAGCGGCGAGCGAACGGGGAGGAGCCCAGAGCCUGAAUCAGCAUGUGUGUUAGUGGAAGCGUCUGGAAAGGCGCGCGAUACAGGGUGACAGCCCCGUACACAAAAGCGCAUGUGCUGUGAGCUCGAUGAGUAGGGCGGGACACGUGGUAUCCUGUCUGAAUAUGGGGGGACCAUCCUCCAAGGCUAAAUACUCCUGACUGACCGAUAGUGAACCAGUACCGUGAGGGAAAGGCGAAAAGAACCCCGGCGAGGGGAGUGAAAAAGAACCUGAAACCGUGUACGUACAAGCAGUGGGAGCACCCUUUGGGUGUGACUGCGUACCUUUUGUAUAAUGGGUCAGCGACUUAUAUUCUGUAGCAAGGUUAACCGAAUAGGGGAGCCGGAGGGAAACCGAGUCUUAACCGGGCGUUAAGUUGCAGGGUAUAGACCCGAAACCCGGUGAUCUAGCCAUGGGCAGGUUGAAGGUUGGGUAACACUAACUGGAGGACCGAACCGACUAAUGUUGAAAAAUUAGCGGAUGACCUGUGGCUGGGGGUGAAAGGCCAAUCAAACCGGGAGAUAGCUGGUUCUCCCCGAAAGCUAUUUAGGUAGCGCCUCGUGAAUUCAUCUCCGGGGGUAGAGCACUGUUUCGGCUAGGGGGCCAUCCCGGCUUACCAACCCGAUGCAAACUGCGAAUACCGGAGAAUGUUAUCACGGGAGACACACGGCGGGUGCUAACGUCCGUCGUGAAGAGGGAAACAACCCAGACCGCCAGCUAAGGUCCCAAAGUCAUGGUUAAGUGGGAAACGAUGUGGGAAGGCCCAGACAGCCAGGAUGUUGGCUUAGAAGCAGCCAUCAUUUAAAGAAAGCGUAAUAGCUCACUGGUCGAGUCGGCCUGCGCGGAAGAUGUAACGGGGCUAAACCAUGCACCGAAGCUGCGGCAGCGACACUGUGUGUUGUUGGGUAGGGGAGCGUUCUGUAAGCCUGUGAAGGUGUGUCGUGAGGCAUGCUGGAGGUAUCAGAAGUGCGAAUGCUGACAUAAGUAACGAUAAAGCGGGUGAAAAGCCCGCUCGCCGGAAGACCAAGGGUUCCUGUCCAACGUUAAUCGGGGCAGGGUGAGUCGACCCCUAAGGCGAGGCCGAAAGGCGUAGUCGAUGGGAAACGGGUUAAUAUUCCCGUACUUGGUGUUACUGCGAAGGGGGGACGGAG